RNAcentral lists this unclassified non-coding RNA (226 nucleotides) under Hevea brasiliensis (rubber tree). Lineage: Eukaryota; Viridiplantae; Streptophyta; Magnoliopsida; Malpighiales; Euphorbiaceae. The record is from RNAcentral.
UGUGAAGAUGGAGAAUUGAGCAUUAUUUGAAAGGAAAAAAAGUAAGUUUCUGCAAAGGAGGGAGACUAUUAUUGCUCUAAAUUAUUCACUGUUGUUUGGAUUGAAAUUGAGUGAUUUUUGGACUAUUUUAAACUAAUUUUAUCAUGUGAUUUUUGCCCUCCAUCACCCACCAAUUCUGCUACAGUGGUAAUGGCCGUUAACAGCACCUAAUGGCGGGCGAUAAUGG